This is a long non-coding RNA of Polypterus senegalus (gray bichir), 1393 nucleotides long. RefSeq lists it as uncharacterized. The record is from RefSeq and is a predicted model, not a curated record. Lineage: Eukaryota; Metazoa; Chordata; Cladistia; Polypteriformes; Polypteridae. The transcript has 2 exons.
UUUGAGUUGCAUUUUUUUUUCGUAUUUUUAAUAACUUUGUUUUGCGUGGUUAUGUUUGCACCGUGAACCUUUACGUUUGUAUUAAUAAUCAUUUUCGCUAUAGUAAUUGAUUUAUAUUCAGUGCUUGAAGUGGGUCGGCACUCAGCGGUACCGGCAACUCUUCACAUUCCACAAGACGAGUUUCACGAGAGCUCCUCGAUUGUGCAUUGAAAACGAAAAAAAACUUUUACAAGCAUCUUGGAAACGCUUGAUCAGUUAUUGUAUCGUUGAGUAGGCUUUUGAUAAAGUUCAGACUGACUACAGUGGUGCACCAUGUUACUUUUUUUCUUUUCAGUUUAGUUCCUUAUGUUUCAGUAAUGUGUCUAAAUUGUAAUACCAAACAAUCUGCGACGUUUUUGUGCCGUCAAUUUUAAUAGAAUUUCGUGGUAGUUUUUUGCAGAUGAUGCCUGUCAUUUCUAAAUUGUUAAGACUUUCCUGCAAUGGUCAGUGCGCCACUGACUUGUUAUGUGACUCAGACUGACAGUCGCGAUGUUCACAGAGCCUUUCAGUUUAAUUACAAGUGACAUUUAUAUUUUUUUUCCUUUCAGGCAGCUUGCUACAAGAAUAUCUUCUGGAAAUUGGAUGUUAAUGAAAAAUCAGGCUGCUGUAUCUGAAAAGGUGUCAUCCAAAUGGUUUAAGGUCACCGGGUAAUGACCUCUGUACAGUAGAAGAUGAGGAGCUGACAGAUGGCCUCUACAACUACUUGAUGAGAUGCUGUGAAGAGCUGUAGGCACUUUUGUAAAGAUCAACAGAGUUCACGUCGUUCUGGAUGUGCUGAUGCUGGAGGCUCAUUUGUCUUCAGGGAAUCUCUGAUGAGUACAGAAUGUGUCUAUGUGAGUAAGAAGCAGAAGGUCUGUUCAUUGGUGGACCAGCAGAUGGUGAGUGGGACGUCAUUUGGUGUUGGGGGAGAGAGAGAGAGAGAUGGACCUUUCUUUUUCUUUUCAGCACCAUUCUUCUUUUAAUCAGAAUACCAUUUUACUUGUAGUGAAUUUAAACAAGAAUAUAAACUAAAUACAUAUAAAUGUAAAUAUAUGUUUAAAGUGAAAUUUAAAAUGUGCAUUAAUACACUUUUAGUACUGGUGAAAGUAAAUCUUUUUUUUUUUUUAAAGUGAGCGAAUUGUUUGACAGACUUGAGCUUCAACUGUUGGAGUACAAAGACAGACAGCAUCACUGAGGCUUCUCAACUUGGGAUUCCAUCUCAGCGCCUCCUCUGAUAAACGUGUCACUGGCUUUACUGGUCUUUGGCCUUUUUUAUUUUUGACUGUUAAACUGACUGUGCAUAAUAAUAGAGUUGUGUAGAUUUGAUUUAACAAUUGAUGUACAGUAAAUAAUAAAGGACACUUUGUUGAUUAAG